GGAAGGAUCAUUCUUGUAUACCAGGUCGAGCGUAAGCUUGGCCUAACCAUGUGUGAAUCAGUGUUCUUUUUCCCGGCGGGAUCUUUGGUGUUGACUCUGGGCUUUGCCUGGAAGAGCCUUAGUGACGGCUGGGGUAUUGCCUCGCAAGAGGUCAACAUGUUAAUAGCAGGGAACUCAAAAAGUAACAAUUACAACUUUAAACGAUGGAUCUCUUGGCUCUCACACCGAUGAAGAACGCAGCAAACUGCGAUAAGCAAUGCGAAACGCAGUUGUUCGUGAGUCAUCCGGUAUUCGAACGCACAUGGCAGGUCUUCGGACCUACGCCUGGUUGAGGGUCUUUAUUACUCCAUUUCUAUGGGAUGUGAGUGGGCAUUUGGCUCACUUCAAAGGCAGGGUAACUUGUACCGUAACCGUUUGGUGGAUAACCUAGCGGGCAUUGGUAACAAGCGAUGGCUGGCAAGCAGUUAUCAUUUCAAAUUUGACCUCAACUCAGACGAGACUACCCGCUGAACUUAAGCAUAUCAAUAAGCGGAGGAAAAGACACCAACAGGGAUUCCCUUAGUAACGGCGAGUGAAAAGGGAGAAGCGCAACAUGGGAAUCGUGCCGCAAGGUACGAGUUGUAGGGUUGCAUUGUUUGCCUGGGAUGAAGCGGCGUGUAAGUCUCUUGGAAUAGAGCAGCAUAGAGGGUGAUACUCCCGUAACGCGCUGCAGAGUCUGUGAUGGCAAGCAAUAGGCGAGUCGAGUUGUUUGGGAAUGCAGCUCCAAAGGGUGGUAAACUCCAUCCAACGCUAAAUACUGGUGAGAGACCGAUAGCAAACAAGUACCGUGAGGGAAAGAUGAAAAGCACCUUGAAAAGGGCGUUAAAAGAAUGUGAAAUCGUUUAGGGGGAAGCGUUGCCAGCGAGUGCAGUAUAACGCAGAUCAUGCACUCUAUCAGGGUGCUGCACUGUGUGUUGUACUGGUCCACAUCAGUUUUGGCUGCUGGAUAAUCUCUCUGGAAGGUAGCGUCCUCGGACGUGUUAAGCCAGGGAGGGCGCAGUGGCUGGGACUGAGGACCGCCGUGCACGUUUGCGGGGCCUCUUAUCUCUGUCUUUCUGCCAGCAGGUGCAUUUUUAAUGAGCUUGUUGAGUAGAUUGUCACCGGUGGGAGUGAUCGCCUAUGCACGAAGGAUGUGGGCGAAAUCGCUUGUAGCGACCCGUCUUGAAACACGGACCAAGGAGUCUAAUUGAUGUGCGAGUGGUAAGGUGGCAAACCUUAGCGCGUAAUGAAAGUAACAGGUACGACCUUCGGGCAGUAUCGGCCGGACGAGAUCUACGGUGAUCGUCCUGAGCAAGAGCAUAUCGACUAGGACCCGAAAGAUGGUGAUCUAUGGCUGCGUAGGAUGAAGCCGGGGGAAACUCCGGUGGAAGUCCGCAGCGGUUCUGACGUAAACAUUUGUGCGUCAAAGAGUUACUACAUGUAGCUAGUCCACUAGUGGGCAACACUGUCAAAUUGCGGGAAACUCCUAAUGCUUUGACUACCAAGUCUACCUUGAAAGAGGUAGAUGGCCAAGCUAACUACUUGGGUAUGGUCACAAUGUCAAAGAUGUACAAUGGAUAAUCCGCAGCCAAGCCCUACGGUAUUUACUAUGGGUGCAGUUCAGAGACUAAAUGUCAGUGGGCCAUCAAGGCUUAAGAUAUAGUCCAUCUACCUCGCAAGAGGAACAAAGAGUAGGAUACCUAUGGUGGAGAGACUCUUUGCAGUAGAUAUACUGAGAUCAAUGGCAAAUCGAUCGUCGAACGUGGCUAUAGGGGCGAAAGACUAAUCGAACCAUCUAGUAUUCAGUUGCUAGAAACAGUAGGCCCAUGCCUGCUAGUCAAGUAGUCAUCUAUUGAUGGGAGACUACUGGCGAGGUAACCUGGUACGAGGAAGGUCUACGGACUAAUCUCGUGGUGAGCCUAGGCCACCGUAACGCACGCAAAGGUACCGGUCUUAUUAGACUCAAGGAACGUGCUAGUCCCAUACGAAAGUAUGCCUACUGCAAUAGGACCCAUCAUCCAAAGGCAGUGGAAACAAUAUUGACUAUAUUGUUGGUAGAAUGAGCUGGUUCCUGC
This 2093-nucleotide unclassified non-coding RNA is filed under the name uncultured fungus. RNAcentral describes it as "sequence contains 18S rRNA gene, ITS1, 5.8S rRNA gene, ITS2, 28S rRNA gene". The stretch from base 480 to 2093 matches the Rfam family "Eukaryotic large subunit ribosomal RNA", at positions 1 to 1141 of the family's 3401-position model. The record is from RNAcentral. Lineage: Eukaryota; Fungi.